UGAGCUCUCGAGCAGAACUAAUUGUAAAAAGACAAAGAGAAAUUUCGUUUCGGUCGAAAAAUUCCGCCUCGUGGAAUUAGGCCUUAAAGGCCGGAUUCCACGAGGCGGAAUUUUUCGACCGAAACGAAAUUUCUCUUUGUCUUUUUACAAUUAGUUCUGCUCGAGAGCUCU
Paramuricea clavata is the source of this 171-nucleotide non-coding RNA. The record is from the annotation of a GenBank genome assembly. Lineage: Eukaryota; Metazoa; Cnidaria; Anthozoa; Malacalcyonacea; Plexauridae.